ACUUUCGUGGUGUAAUGAUCAGCACACUCGGCGCGUAUUCGAGAGGUCCGUGGUUCGAACCCCGGCGAAGGCA
Non-coding RNA from Stegodyphus mimosarum, 73 nucleotides. Lineage: Eukaryota; Metazoa; Arthropoda; Arachnida; Araneae; Eresidae. The record is from Rfam.